CCUACGGGUGGCUGCAGUGAGGAAUAUUGGUCAAUGGACGAGAGUCUGAACCAGCCAAGUAGCGUGAAGGAUGACUGCCCAAUGGGUUGUAAACUUCUUUUAUAUGGGAAUAAAAUGUUCCACGUGUGGGAUUUUGUAUGUACCAUAUGAAUAAGGAUCGGCUAACUCCGUGCCAGCAGCAGCGGUAAUACGGAGGAUCCGAGCGUUAUCCGGAUUUAUGGGGUUUAAAGGGAGCGUAGGUGGAUUGUUAAGUCCGUUGUGAAAGUUUGCGGCUCAACCGUAAAAUUGCAGUUGAAACUGGCAGUCUUGAGUACAGUAGAGGUGGGCGGAAAUCGUGGUGUAUCGGUUAAAUGCUUAGAUAACACGAAAAAAUCCGAUUGCGAAGGCAGUUCACUGGACUGCAACUGACACUGAGGCUCGAAAGUGUGGGUAUCAAACAGGAUUAGAUACCCCAGUAGUC
RNAcentral lists this ribosomal RNA (460 nucleotides) under uncultured bacterium. Its description in RNAcentral is "partial 16S ribosomal RNA". It matches the Rfam family "Bacterial small subunit ribosomal RNA", at positions 338 to 795 of the family's 1533-position model. The record is from RNAcentral.